CCUACGGGAGACAGCAGUGAGGAAUAUUGGUCAAUGGACGAGAGUCUGAACCAGCCAAGUAGCGUGAAGGAUGACUGCCCUAUGGGUUGUAAACUUCUUUUAUAUGGGAAUAAAAUGUUCCACGUGUGGGAUUUUGUAUGUACCAUAUGAAUAAGGAUCGGCUAACUCCGUGCCAGCAGCCGCGGUAAUACGGAGGAUCCGAGCGUUAUCCGGAUUUAUUGGGUUUAAAGGGAGCGUAGGUGGAUUGUUAAGUCAGUUGUGAAAGUUUGCGGCUCAACCGUAAAAUUGCAGUUGAAACUGGCAGUCUUGAGUACAGUAGAGGUGGGCGGAAUUCGGGGUGUAGCGGUGAAAUGCUUAGAUAUCACGAAGAACUCCGAUUGCGAAGGCAGUUCACUGGACUGCAACUGACACUGAGGCUCGAAAGUGUGGGUAUCAAACAGGAUUAGAUACCCUAGUAGUC
Molecule: ribosomal RNA, 460 nt
Filed under: uncultured bacterium
Lineage: Bacteria
Description: partial 16S ribosomal RNA
Rfam family: Bacterial small subunit ribosomal RNA
Source: RNAcentral